This 251-nucleotide ribosomal RNA is filed under the name Cupriavidus sp. TGCL-26. RNAcentral's name for it is "partial 16S ribosomal RNA". Lineage: Bacteria; Pseudomonadati; Pseudomonadota; Betaproteobacteria; Burkholderiales; Burkholderiaceae. The record is from RNAcentral.
CACACGCGGCAUUGCUGGAUCAGGGUUGCCCCCAUUGUCCAAAAUUCCCCACUGCUGCCUCCCGUAGGAGUCUGGGCCGUGUCUCAGUCCCAGUGUGGCUGAUCGUCCUCUCAGACCAGCUACUGAUCGUCGCCUUGGUAGGCCUUUACCCCACCAACUAGCUAAUCAGACAUCGGCCGCUCCUAUCGCGCGAGGCCGUUACCGGUCCCCCGCUUUCACCCUCAGGUCGUAUGCGGUAUUAGCUAAUCUUU